UCUGGAAACCGUGCCCAUACCUGCAAGACCAUGACGCCCAAGCUUAGUCUGACAAGUGUGAAUGUACUUAGGAGGGCACUGCAGCAGGGGACUGAAAGCAGGACAGCACAGGAGUUCCAGAACAGUGAUCACCAACGCGGAUGGUGAAAGCCAUUGCAGUCAGAACAAACAGGGCACAGAAUUGACUGAAAUACCUGUUGUGAGCCAGGCACGCGGGACGCUGAGGAGACAGUGAGCAGAUCCGAACAGCAGCUGGGUCCAAGGAAGCUGAAGAGACCAUGGAGGAGAUAUCAACCCUCCCCAUACCUGAAGCUAAGCCCACCUGAUCCUCAGCUGAGCCCAGUGAGAGCACAGAAUAUUCACAGGCCCAAGAGUGAAAAUAAAUGCCUGUAAUGGUAAGUCAUGGAGCUGUUUGUUAUACAGCCUUGUUGUCUGUAGCUGACUAGUACAACCCCAAAUGAUUAUUUAAAAGU
Camelus dromedarius (Arabian camel) is the source of this 473-nucleotide long non-coding RNA. RefSeq lists it as uncharacterized. The record is from RefSeq and is a predicted model, not a curated record. NCBI's taxonomy places the organism in Eukaryota, Metazoa, Chordata, Mammalia, Artiodactyla, Camelidae. The transcript is spliced from 3 exons.